Molecule: ribosomal RNA, 462 nt
Filed under: Streptococcus mitis
Lineage: Bacteria; Bacillati; Bacillota; Bacilli; Lactobacillales; Streptococcaceae
Description: bacterial SSU rRNA
Rfam family: Bacterial small subunit ribosomal RNA
Source: RNAcentral
GACGAACGCUGGCGGCGUGCCUAAUACAUGCAAGUAGAACGCUGAAGGAGGAGCUUGCUUCUCUGGAUGAGUUGCGAACGGGUGAGUAACGCGUAGGUAACCUGCCUGGUAGCGGGGGAUAACUAUUGGAAACGAUAGCUAAUACCGCAUAAUAGUAGAUGUUGCAUGACAUUUACUUGAAAGGUGCAAUUGCAUCACUACCAGAUGGACCUGCGUUGUAUUAGCUAGUUGGUGGGGUAACGGCUCACCAAGGCGACGAUACAUAGCCGACCUGAGAGGGUGAUCGGCCACACUGGGACUGAGACACGGCCCAGACUCCUACGGGAGGCAGCAGUAGGGAAUCUUCGGCAAUGGACGGAAGUCUGACCGAGCAACGCCGCGUGAGUGAAGAAGGUUUUCGGAUCGUAAAGCUCUGUUGUAAGAGAAGAACGAGUGUGAGAGUGGAAAGUUCACACUGUGACG